AAUAUUUGACAAUGGGGGCAACCCUGCUCCAGCCAGGCCGCGUGUGUGAAGAAGGCCUUCGGUUUGUAAAGCACUUUAAGUUGGGAGGAAGGGCUUUAGUUUAAUACUCUGAUGUUUCGACGUUACCAACAGAAUAAGCACCGGCAAAUUCUGUGCCAGCAGCCGCGGUAAUACAGAGGGUGCAAGCUUUAAUCGGAAUUACUGGGCGUAAAGCGCGCGUAGGUGGUUCAGUAAGAUUGGUGUGAAAUCCCCGGGCUUAACCUGGGAACUGCUUUCAUAACUGCUGAGCUAGAGUACGGUAGAGGGUAGUGGAAUUUCCUGUGUAGCGGUGAAAUGCGUAGAUAUAGGAAGGAACACCAGUGGCGAAGGCGACUACCUGGACUGAUACUGACACUGAGGUGCGAAAGCGUGGGGAGCAAACA
This 422-nucleotide ribosomal RNA is filed under the name uncultured bacterium. Its description in RNAcentral is "partial 16S ribosomal RNA". It matches the Rfam family "Bacterial small subunit ribosomal RNA", at positions 360 to 774 of the family's 1533-position model. The record is from RNAcentral.